Molecule: transfer RNA, 88 nt
Filed under: Buchnera aphidicola (Cinara tujafilina)
Lineage: Bacteria; Pseudomonadati; Pseudomonadota; Gammaproteobacteria; Enterobacterales; Erwiniaceae
Description: tRNA-Und (NNN) (tRNA-Und-NNN-1-1)
Rfam family: tRNA
About the family: Transfer RNA (tRNA) molecules are approximately 80 nucleotides in length. Their secondary structure includes four short double-helical elements and three loops (D, anti-codon, and T loops).
Source: Rfam by way of RNAcentral
ACCGAAGUGGUGAAAUAGGUAGACACGCUAUCUUGAGGGGGUAGUACCUAAAAAUAUAGGUUUGUGGGUUCAAGUCCCACCUUCGGUA